AGUGAACGCUGGCGGUAGGCCUAACACAUGCAAGUCGAACGGCAGCACAGGAGAGCUUGCUCUCUGGGUGGCGAGUGGCGGACGGGUGAGGAAUACAUCGGAAUCUACUCUGUCGUGGGGGAUAACGUAGGGAAACUUACGCUAAUACCGCAUACGACCUACGGGUGAAAGCAGGGGACCUUCGGGCCUUGCGCGAUUGAAUGAGCCGAUGUCGGAUUAGCUAGUUGGCGGGGUAAAGGCCCACCAAGGCGACGGUCCGUAGCUGGUCUGAGAGGAUGAUCAGCCACACUGGAACUGAGACACGGUCCAGACUCCUACGGGAGGCAGCAGUGGGGAAUAUUGGACAAUGGGCGCCAGCCUGAUCCAGCCAUACCGCGUGGGUGAAGAAGGCCUUCGGGUUGUAAAGCCCUUUUGUUGGGAAAGAAAUCCAGCUGGCUAAUACCCGGUUGGGAUGACGGUACCCAAAGAAUAAGCACCGGCUAACUUCGUGCCAGCAGCCGCGGUAA
This 506-nucleotide ribosomal RNA is filed under the name uncultured bacterium. RNAcentral's name for it is "partial 16S ribosomal RNA". It matches the Rfam family "Bacterial small subunit ribosomal RNA", at positions 29 to 523 of the family's 1533-position model. The record is from RNAcentral.